UGUAGAACGAAAAGGUAGGCUUAAUUUUCCGUUACGAUUUGCUGGCAACAAUGGUGGGUAAAUACGUUCGAAAAUCAGCGCGACAAAGUUGGAGUGAAGAAAAUAUGACCCAAGCACUAGAGGCAGUUAGAAAUCGACGAAUGGGAUGACUUUUAGCUUCUAAGACGUUCAAUGUGCCCCACACUACUUUUAGAAGAAGAGCUAAGAAUGAUCGAGGAGCCAUUAAAGGAUACUCAGGAGGACAUGCCCCAACUUUCAAUGCUGAGUUAGAAAAUGAGUUGGUUAGUUAUAUAAAGGAGUUAGAAGUACGUUUCUUUGGUCUUACAACUGAGGAUAUUCGCAAGCUUGCUUAUGAAAUUGCCGAGGCAAAGAAAAUUCCCCAUAGGUUCUC
This is a long non-coding RNA of Anthonomus grandis grandis, 391 nucleotides long. RefSeq lists it as uncharacterized. The record is from RefSeq and is a predicted model, not a curated record. NCBI's taxonomy places the organism in Eukaryota, Metazoa, Arthropoda, Insecta, Coleoptera, Curculionidae. The transcript has 2 exons.